Molecule: transfer RNA, 87 nt
Filed under: Candidatus Acetothermia bacterium
Lineage: Bacteria; Candidatus Bipolaricaulota
Description: tRNA-Leu
Rfam family: tRNA
About the family: Transfer RNA (tRNA) molecules are approximately 80 nucleotides in length. Their secondary structure includes four short double-helical elements and three loops (D, anti-codon, and T loops).
Source: RNAcentral
GCGAAGGUGGCGGAACCGGCAGACGCGCCAGCCUUAGGAGCUGGUGGGCGAGAGCCCAUGCGGGUUCGAGUCCCGCCCUUCGCACCA